Molecule: long non-coding RNA, 247 nt
Organism: Austrofundulus limnaeus
Lineage: Eukaryota; Metazoa; Chordata; Actinopteri; Cyprinodontiformes; Rivulidae
Exons: 2
Source: RefSeq, a predicted model, not a curated record
CCGGAGGACUGAAAAGCUCAGCUCGGUUCAUGUCAAAAGCAGAGGGUCAGAGGUCAAAUAUCCAGUCUUCACAAGCGGGCAAGGCCAAGACUGAGAAUCAUGUAGUGUGAGGUCAUUGGCAUGGGACAAAACAAGAGGCGUAUUCCCUCACCGGCCAGAAGGGCGGCUCCAGGGGCGACCAUCUUUGAGGGAUUAUUGAAACCACAACUUUCAUAAAGUAAGUUUCCCACCCUGACAAAGUAUUGAA